GCGGCCGUGACCCUGCUGGAGUGCGGGGGGGACCUCCAGCCCCCCGGGGGGUCCCUGCGCCUCCUGUGCCGAGGGUCCAGGUUCACUUUUUUCCAAUUUGGGGUGGGCUGGAUCCGCCAGAGACCUGGGCAGGGGCUGGAGUGGCUCGCGGAGAUCACCAACACUGGUGGAAACAUCGGCUACGCGCCAUCGGUCAAGGGUCGGUUUAGGAUCUCCAGGGACAACGGGCAGAGCUCGGUGACGCUGACCAUGAACAACCUCAAGGACGAGGAUUCCGGAUCCUAUUUCUGUGCCAGGGCUUUUUGUGCCGCGUCAAACUUCUAG
Molecule: non-coding RNA, 324 nt
Organism: Melozone crissalis (California towhee)
Lineage: Eukaryota; Metazoa; Chordata; Aves; Passeriformes; Passerellidae
Source: the annotation of a RefSeq genome assembly